Long non-coding RNA from Lactuca sativa (garden lettuce), 545 nucleotides. RefSeq lists it as uncharacterized. The record is from RefSeq and is a predicted model, not a curated record. Lineage: Eukaryota; Viridiplantae; Streptophyta; Magnoliopsida; Asterales; Asteraceae.
UAAGAUGUAGCAACCCCCCCGCCUUUUUUUUUUUUUUUUUUUUUGCAGUAUAGAAUAACAUAAACACCAAAUAAAACCCCAAUCCUGGCUUCGCCCGUGUCUUCUAUGAUUUCGAGGAAUAAUCGAAUACGAAGGCGAAGCUGUUGUAAUGAUUUUCCCCGAUGAAUGAACAGUAUACGGAUCCUAACAGGAAAUGAAAAUCUGAUCUUUGACGAAGGAGGGGUGGUGGAUCGAUUUCAGAUAAAUCAAUAUCAAGGAAAGAUUGGGAUAUUUCUUCCAAAGAAAACGAACAUAGUUCCAAUACGGUAUAUUUGUGGAACACUCAACACCUAUUUCAAAAGGAAAAAAAGAGAAAUAAAGCAAAGGUUACUUUUCGGUUAGUUUUUUUUUAAUGUAAAUCUUGAAGUCCACUUUAAUAUCUACUUAUCUAUGUAGAUAAAAGAAUUGAAUAAAUAAAAGUGUAACGUUGCUAUUAUUGGUAAGGAAUUGUAAGUACAUUGGUACUAUAUGUAAAUAAAUGUAAGUAUGUUGCUAUUAUGGUUACA